Molecule: ribosomal RNA, 603 nt
Filed under: uncultured Vibrio sp.
Lineage: Bacteria; Pseudomonadati; Pseudomonadota; Gammaproteobacteria; Vibrionales; Vibrionaceae
Description: bacterial SSU rRNA
Rfam family: Bacterial small subunit ribosomal RNA
Source: RNAcentral
UGCAGUCGAGCGGAAACGACACUAACAAUCCUUCGGGUGCGUUAAUGGGCGUCGAGCGGCGGACGGGUGAGUAAUGCCUAGGAAAUUGCCUUGAUGUGGGGGAUAACCAUUGGAAACGAUGGCUAAUGCCGCAUAAUGCCUACGGGCCAAAGAGGGGGACCUUCGGGCCUCUCGCGUCAAGAUAUGCCUAGGUGGGAUUAGCUAGUUGGUGAGGUAAUGGCUCACCAAGGCGACGAUCCCUAGCUGGUCUGAGAGGAUGAUCAGCCACACUGGAACUGAGACACGGUCCAGACUCCUACGGGAGGCAGCAGUGGGGAAUAUCGCACAAUGGGCGAAAGCCUGAUGCAGCCAUGCCGCGUGUAUGAAGAAGGCCUUCGGGUUGUAAAGUACUUUCAGUUGUGAGGAAGGGGGUGUUGUUAAUAGCAACAUCUCUUGACGUUAGCAACAGAAGAAGCACCGGCUAACUCCGUGCCAGCAGCCGCGGUAAUACGGAGGGUGCGAGCGUUAAUCGGAAUUACUGGGCGUAAAGCGCAUGCAGGUGGUUCAUUAAGUCAGUUGUGAAAGCCCGGGGCUCAACCUCGGAACUGCAUUUGAAACUGGUGA